GAAUAUAUGUAUAGAAAGAAGGACAUCCUUUAACUGAACAAAAAAAAAGUCACAUAAAGAAACCUUGACUUCAAUUCUGUUAUGCGUUGCAAGUGAAGUUGUCUUCCUCUUUUGCUUUUAAUUGGCAAAACAGCAUGCUUACUGAAGAGUUCUAUGGCCUAUGGGCGCAUUUUUCUAAAAAAAUCAUAUCUGAUUUCUGAACUUAUCUGAAGCAUUGUCUCUUUUUGUCUCUUCAGGCUCAAGCGUAGACGCCUCACGUUUUCUAAUUAAAACGAGUACUACUAAAGAUAAGCCUACAUCAUCAGUGGCUUUCAGAUGACUUCAGUGAUUUGGAGGCCUCUUUUGGUUGUCUGUACGUGAAGCUCACUUCAGAGUGAGACAACUGGAAACUAUGUGUUCCCCUCGCGAGCCCUACAACGAAGUCGACCGCAUCAGAGAGGGGGAAAAAUAAUGGAAAUUCUGAUGCUGAUUGUGCCUUAGUGGAUUGGUGACUCGUAUACUCUGGCAGCCUGAUCCGGAAAUGGAGCCACAGCAUUGAAGCGACAACCCGUCAACUUUUUUCGUUUCAUCGACUCUGAAUUUCUUAAACGUCCGUUCGUCUAAAAGUCUCUAACCCCAGGUAGGCAAGGCAGGUGAUCACGGCUAUCAAAUCGGCGUUGUUAUACGUAGCUUUCGUCCCUGUUCGCUCGUUUUUUUUGCCUCUACUGCAGUUCAGCAGUGGCCUUGGUCUCAUCAUCUUUGUGCAAGUUGGCAUGUAUCGGACCAGGAAUUUUCAGUUCAGCAGUGUUCCCACAGAAUACGUCUUGGUGCGUUCUUCUUCCAAGGAACUAAUUCUUAUCACGUCGUAGGCUUUUGCCAUUUCGGCAUAUCGUCAGCUGUCUCGACCAAUCAAUCGAUCUGACCCAUUUGUGCUGCAAAAUUCCUGCUGUGGACUCUAUAUGACUCAUUGAGUCCAUAUUGAAUACGAUCAUAUUGUUUCCUUCGUCA
Non-coding RNA from Oryza sativa Japonica Group (Japanese rice), 987 nucleotides. The record is from RefSeq and is a predicted model, not a curated record. NCBI's taxonomy places the organism in Eukaryota, Viridiplantae, Streptophyta, Magnoliopsida, Poales, Poaceae.